RNAcentral lists this ribosomal RNA (435 nucleotides) under uncultured bacterium. RNAcentral describes it as "bacterial SSU rRNA". It matches the Rfam family "Bacterial small subunit ribosomal RNA", at positions 957 to 1393 of the family's 1533-position model. The record is from RNAcentral.
UAACGCGAAGAACCUUACCUGGGCUUGACAUGUUCCUGACCGUCCUGGAAACAGGGCUUCCCUUCGGGGCAGGAUCACAGGCGGUGCAUGGCUGUCGUCAGCUCGUGUCGUGAGAUGUUGGGUUAAGUCCCGCAACGAGCGCAACCCCCGUCGCAUGUUGCCAGCAUUUAGUUGGGGACUCAUGCGAGACUGCCGGUGACAAACCGGAGGAAGGUGGGGAUGACGUCAAGUCAUCAUGCCCCUUAUGUCCAGGGCUACACACGUGCUACAUUGGCGCGUACAGAGGGCUGCGAUACCGCGAGGUGGAGCGAAUCCCUUAAAGCGCGUCUCGGUUCGGAUUGCAGGCUGAAACCCGCCUGCAUGAAGGCGGAGUUGCUAGUAAUCGCGGAUCAGCAUUGCCGCGGUGAAUACGUUCCCGGGUCUUGUACACACCGA